CCGAUAUAUCGAUGAUAUUUUAUUGAUUUGGAGGGGAGAAGAAAGUGACCUAGUCUCCUUUUUAGAAUUUCUAAAUACCAAUUAUUGGGGCAUCAGGCUAAGUAGUACUUGGAGUAAAGAAAUAGUAACCUUUUUAGAUCUUGAUAUUUUUAUUGAAGAAGGUAAAAUUAAAACUAAAAAUCAUUUUAAAAAAGUUGAUUGUAAUAGUUUUAUAGAGAGCAUAAGCUGCC
Molecule: non-coding RNA, 230 nt
Organism: Pelobates cultripes (western spadefoot toad)
Lineage: Eukaryota; Metazoa; Chordata; Amphibia; Anura; Pelobatidae
Source: the annotation of a GenBank genome assembly